GAAGUCAUCGUCUUUACUUCAUGCAAUACGAUAGGUAUAGUGGUAGGAGCAGUCUUUGCAGUUAUUGGUGUCAUGGUGAUAACCGUUGUUAUUCUGAUUCUUUACAGAAGAUAUCAAACACGUUCUUUUACGACAACAUCUAACCUUAAAUGUAAGAGUUUAGUAUUAGACAAAAACAAUGACAUAAAGUCACGUGACAUGAAAUCAGAAAGUAAAGGAACGCUUAACUAUUAUGUCCACACAGAUCAUAGUAAUAGUAAUAUCAGCGAAAGAGAACUUUAUGAGACUGUUGUCUAUAAGGACAAAAGUAAUAAUGAACAGUCGAUCAACAUAUGUACUAAUGAAUCAGGGAUGAAGAAUAACACUUAUGGCCAAGACGACGCCAAAUACGAAACUGUUGAGGAAAUCGAGAGGGACAGAGCUGUCAGAAAUAUAUAUAGAAAUAAAAGUAUCGAAAAAUAUAUGAAUAUUAAUGCAGACUCUGACACAGUCGAAAAAAAAUUAAAUCAAAAGGCAAAUGCUAAUGAUGAGCUUUAUUACAAUAUUGAUGAACAUAAAUCUGAAGAAUACGAAAUUCCGACGAGAACAGAAAGCGCACCACAUUUGUAUUCAACGCUUAAUGCCGACUCGGAAGAAGAUACCAUAAAAAGUGAAACACAAGUCCUUGAAAACACAGAGGAAGAAUAUGAAUUUAUGAUGCCACAGUAAGCAUUGAAAAAAAAAGAGAAAUGAGCAACAACGAUUUAAUCGGAAGAAAUAUAGAGUAUUAAUAAGUAGCAACUUCGGAAACCUUAUGUGAUACAAUAUACCACAAUCAGACAAAUAGGAACUAUAUAACAGCUGCAAUGAACAUUAAAUAUAUUAGAUGCAAUAGUUUCUAAUACGAACUAUGGUUUAUUUAAGUUGUCUGCACAGGAACAAAAAUCUUUUCUGUAACAUUCAUCAUCUGUCAAAGCCAGGUUGAUUCAUUCUAUAUAACUAAAAGGAAUAUUAUAUAAAAGAAGUACGACGUGUGGGUAAAUAAGAAAGUGCUGUGCUUAGAUUAUUUGCCAUUGUAAUUCUUUGGAAUUUCUAAAUUGAAACUCUUCAAAUUAUAUUCCCCAAAAUGUCAAUCAAAAGGAUAGUAAAAAAGAAAAAUCAAAAAUAUGUUUGAAUAGCGGGUAGAAAAACGGUAACCCAGCUAAGUAAAUAAGGAAUCGAAAUCUAGAGAAAAGAAUAAACGGACAAAUCAAAAGCAACGACACAAAUGUACAGAAACCACAACGGACAAAUCAAAAGCAACGACACAAAUCUACAGAAACCACAACGGACAAAUCAAAAGCAACGACACAAAUCUACAGAAAGAAAAAGAGACAAAUCAAAAGCAACGACACAAAUCUAGAGAAAGAAAAAGAAACAAAUCAAAAGCAACGACACAAAUCUACAAAAAGAAAAAGAGACAAAUCAAAAGCAACGACACAAAUCUACAGAAAGAAAAAGAGACAAAUCAAAAGCAACGUAUCAAAUCUACAGAAAGAAAAAGAGACAAAUCAAAUGCAACGACACAAAUCUACAGAAAGAAAAAGAGACAAAUCAAAAGAAACGAGACAAAUGUACAGAAACGACAAGGAACAAAUUAAAAGUACACUGUACUAGCAAGUGUACAGAUAAAACGAACAACGGAAAUAAUUCGUGAUAUGAAUUAAUCAGGAAGUUACUUCUUUGGACAAAAUUAAAAACUUACGAAAAGGAAACCAUUGUUUUUGUUUACUAUGCUAUCGGGAUUGGUUGGUAUAUAGUUUAUGUGUACCUUUAUUUAAAUUUACUUACGUCCUUGAAAUGGCGAAAACUGAAAAAAAAAGGAUUUUACUUUUUAUCUUUGUGGUACUUUGCCUUAAAUGUAUUUUAUUCAAAAGAAAAGGUCAAUGUUUCGUAGUCUUACCGAAUUCAAAAUAAAGCUUCCGUAUAUUCGUUUAGAGAGUUUUGCACAUUCAAAGCUGAUCAGAAUGUCAAUAUUCUGCUGAGGAAACUGUCCACAAAAUUCAGUGAUCUAUCGAAACCUAAGCAUUCUACCAAUGUUUAUCCCGAAACAAAUAUUUGGGAAUUUGUGUUGUUUCUGUAUUUUAUUAUUGGAGUAAACACAUGUUUUCUUUUCGGACUAUUAUAUAAAGUUUGUGAGUGCAUCUUGCGUGAACGUGAGGCUUUGAAGACAGGAAGACAAAAGUUGAAAAGAAGAGCGAAGAUUUGUAGGACAAUUUUACUGUUUAAGCACAUAAUUUUAGUGAACAUAUGCACAAACAAUGUUUAUAAAUAACGUUGUACAUAAUUCUUCCCUGAGAGACGUUUUUACGACCAACAACAAAUAUUAGACAAUUUUAAUUUGCUGCCAUUGUCCGCCAUCUUGGAAAAUUAAAUUUAUUUUUAUUUUC
This is a long non-coding RNA of Mytilus californianus (California mussel), 2408 nucleotides long. RefSeq lists it as uncharacterized. The record is from RefSeq and is a predicted model, not a curated record. NCBI's taxonomy places the organism in Eukaryota, Metazoa, Mollusca, Bivalvia, Mytilida, Mytilidae. The transcript has 2 exons.